RNAcentral lists this transfer RNA (82 nucleotides) under Fischerella thermalis WC217. RNAcentral's name for it is "tRNA-Leu". It matches the Rfam family "tRNA". Rfam says of the family: Transfer RNA (tRNA) molecules are approximately 80 nucleotides in length. Their secondary structure includes four short double-helical elements and three loops (D, anti-codon, and T loops). The record is from RNAcentral. Lineage: Bacteria; Bacillati; Cyanobacteriota; Cyanophyceae; Nostocales; Hapalosiphonaceae.
GCGGAACUGGCGGAAUUGGCAGACGCGCUAGAUUUAGGUUCUAGUGCCGCGAGGCGUGAAGGUUCAAGUCCUUUCAUCCGCA